This 250-nucleotide ribosomal RNA is filed under the name uncultured bacterium. Its description in RNAcentral is "partial 16S ribosomal RNA". It matches the Rfam family "Bacterial small subunit ribosomal RNA", at positions 524 to 773 of the family's 1533-position model. The record is from RNAcentral.
UACAGAGGGUGCAAGCGUUAAUCGGAAUGACUGGGCGUAAAGGGCACGUAGGCGGCAAGAUGUGUUAUAGGUGAAAUCCCCGGGCUUAACCUGGGAAGGUCCUAUAAAACUGUCUUGCUAGAAUAUAGGAGAGGUAAGUGGAAUUUCCGGUGUAGCGGUGAAAUGCGUAGAUAUCGGAAAGAACACCAGUGGCGAAGGCGACUUACUGGUCUAAUAUUGACGCUGAGGUGCGAAAGCGUGGGGAGCAAAC